AAAUCUCGGUUGUGUUUGGAGCUCAGUAUUUAAUCAUCUGUGGGCCUCAGGAGAGAUGUGGAGUCCUCAUCACGGGGUUGCCUGGUGAUUAUGGAAUAAGCGGGGGACUUACAGAGACUCAGCAUUCAGGGGAACCAGGCCACCACAUCCCAGACGUGAGUACCUGUGCAAAAUUCAUUCAUUCCUCCGUCUUGGACGUGUUUACUGAGCACCUGCGACGUGCCAGGCACUAGGGGUGCUGCAGCGGA
Molecule: long non-coding RNA, 248 nt
Filed under: Piliocolobus tephrosceles (Ugandan red Colobus)
Lineage: Eukaryota; Metazoa; Chordata; Mammalia; Primates; Cercopithecidae
Description: lncRNA (ENSPTEG00000007118.1)
Source: RNAcentral